GUGGUUUGGAACAGGGCAGGGAUGGAGGGAAGGUCCUUGUAUCUUAGACAUCAAAAUCCCAGGAAAAUAAUUAGGAGGUGUUUGGGAUUCUGCUGAAAACUCUGACAACAGAGGGCGAGAAACGGACAGAGCGGAGCUUCAGGGAAAUGCCUGUGGUGAGCUGGAUACAGAGGAUCUCAGAAGGAGAAGAAGCCAGAGGAGUAGGCUGGCCCAGAGCCCAGGUCAUUGAGUCAUGAGGAAUGGCCUUCCGGGAUGGGAAGGGGCUGCUGUCUCUGGACUCUUGCUGAGGACCAGAAAUAUCUCCAAGAGCACCAGCAACCCCAGCUAUCUAGACCCGAAGUGGAUAUACUCAGAGGCAUCCUGGCCUACCCCACCCCUGACCCCAGAGAAGAUGCUGCUGCCCUCAGAAGACGCCAGAGCCAGCCACACUGCAAGUCUGGGAGGAUCGAGCAAGGCAGGCUGCUCAGUGAAGGCUUCCUCUCCUGUAGCAGGAAGAGCAUCGUUAAGAACAAGUAUGCAGGGCUGGACUACUCUGGAGAUGUAAUGACCAGAGCUGAGACCCCCGAGACCAGAGUGACUAUGAAGGACUGUCGUCACCUUGUUCCUGAACAUCUAAUGCCUCUCAGCUCCAGGAGGCCACUGAGGAGAAACCGAAGGCUAGUUUUCCUUGGAAGCCAGCAGCCUGUCCACCUGUUCCACUUCCCUGCCUCUUGCAGCCUCCGCUCAAACACUACCAUGGUUUGGGAGCACGGAAAAACUAGAAAAUACAGAAAUAUAUCAAGAAGAAAGAAAUUUAAAAAUCAACCUGAAUCCCACCAACCAGAGACAGCUAUUAAUGAUUGUGGUAUAUUUAUUCAGGUUGGACUUUAUAUCAAAGCUAUUCUGAUGUCACCUUUCCCAAUGUUAAGGAUGUUAAUGAGAAUUGCUAAUCCAAGAGAAGCAAAUAAUCGCAUCUGAUUUGGGUAAGUCAAUUAUUUGAAAGUAGAAGAAUCACCCUUCCACCUAAGGAACCUCUGAGGGAAGUACUGGAAAAAUAAUGCUUUGUAAUAAGCC
This 1053-nucleotide long non-coding RNA is filed under the name Callithrix jacchus (white-tufted-ear marmoset). Its description in RNAcentral is "lncRNA (ENSCJAG00000084666.1)". The record is from RNAcentral. Lineage: Eukaryota; Metazoa; Chordata; Mammalia; Primates; Cebidae.